Molecule: long non-coding RNA, 743 nt
Filed under: Gallus gallus (chicken)
Lineage: Eukaryota; Metazoa; Chordata; Aves; Galliformes; Phasianidae
Description: long non-coding RNA NONGGAT001580
Source: RNAcentral
AAACAGGCAAGAAAAAAAUUGAGUUAAAUUCUGAGCACAGGUGGAUGAUGAAAGUUUAAGCUCUCCAAGUUGCCAGCAGGAAACUGUAAGAAUACUUCUAUGUGAGCACAGAGAAGGGACUCAUUACAGGUGACUUCCUGGAAUAGCUCAUAUCUCUUGCUCUGUGAUCAGGAUCCAGAACCAUGCUCAUUCUCAGCUGCAUUCUUGCUAACUGGAUGAGACACUGUAUGCAGCUGGAGGAAAAAAAUUCUGGGUUGAAGAGGCCUGAAGGAUGACAUGCGAGAAAUCUGAGGAGUGGCCAUCCAGAUUCAUGGAUACAGUGUAUGACCAAAUGUGAAAUAAUACUGCAAAUUGCCUUGUAAGAUUUAUUUUCUGAGCUAUCUAGAAUUAGUUCAAAACUAUUCUCAGAACCUCAGCACAAAGAGAGACUUGAAGUUAGACAACAAUUACAAGCAGAAAACAUUAAAAGAGAAUCUGUUAUUGCAAUGAUAGUCUGUGAUUCUACAUUACCAGUAAAGGUGGAAUUGAGCUGCUAUUGCAGAUAACUCCAGGAAUUUCCUUUUUGAUUUAAUUAAACCAGAAGUGAAAUAAUCACGUAAAGACAACAUUUUCAUGCUAGCUGUGAUGCCCAAAAAAGAUUGUUUGGGAGUUAGUUACACGAUGCUGAGCUAAAUGCAUGUCUGUGGAAUACACAUGUGAGUGUUAACAGGAAAAAUAAACAAUUUUGAAGAAAAAUAGGUGAU